The sequence is a ribosomal RNA, 184 nucleotides long. It matches the Rfam family "Bacterial small subunit ribosomal RNA", at positions 1358 to 1533 of the family's 1533-position model.
UGCGGUGAAUACGUUCCCGGGCCUUGCACACACCGCCCGUCACGUCAUGGGAGCUGGCAACGCCUGAAGCCGGUGGGCUAACCCGAAAGGGAGGCAGCCGUCGAAGGCGGGGCCGGUGACUGGGACGAAGUCGUAACAAGGUAGCCGUACGGGAACGUGCGGCUGGAUCACCUCCUUUCUAAGG